This 1867-nucleotide ribosomal RNA is filed under the name Campylobacter coli. RNAcentral describes it as "partial 23S ribosomal RNA". It matches the Rfam family "Bacterial large subunit ribosomal RNA", at positions 1 to 1732 of the family's 2925-position model. Lineage: Bacteria; Pseudomonadati; Campylobacterota; Epsilonproteobacteria; Campylobacterales; Campylobacteraceae. The record is from RNAcentral.
AAAAAAGGUAAGCUACUAAGAGCGAAUGGUGGAUGCCUUGACUGGUAAAGGCGAUGAAGGACGUACUAGACUGCGAUAAGCUACGGGGAGCUGUCAAGAAGCUUUGAUCCGUAGAUUUCCGAAUGGGGCAACCCAAUGUAUAGAGAUAUACAUUACCUAUAUAGGAGCGAACGAGGGGAAUUGAAACAUCUUAGUACCCUCAGGAAAAGAAAUCAAUAGAGAUUGCGUCAGUAGCGGCGAGCGAAAGCGCAAGAGGGCAAACCCAGUGCUUGCACUGGGGGUUGUAGGACUGCAAUGUGCAAGAGGUAAGUUUAGCAGAACAUUCUGGAAAGUAUAACCAUAGAGGGUGAUAGUCCCGUAUGCGAAAAACAAACCUUAGCUAGCAGUAUCCUGAGUAGGGCGGGACACGAGGAAUCCUGUCUGAAUCCGGGUCGACCACGAUCCAACCCUAAAUACUAAUACCAGAUCGAUAGUGCACAAGUACCGUGAGGGAAAGGUGAAAAGAACUGAGGUGAUCAGAGUGAAAUAGAACCUGAAACCAUUUGCUUACAAUCAUUCAGAGCCCUAUGUAGCAAUACAGGGUGAUGGACUGCCUUUUGCAUAAUGAGCCUGCGAGUUGUGGUGUCUGGCAAGGUUAAGCAAACGCGAAGCCGUAGCGAAAGCGAGUCUGAAUAGGGCGCUUAGUCAGAUGCUGCAGACCCGAAACGAAGUGAUCUAUCCAUGAGCAAGUUGAAGCUAGUGUAAGAACUAGUGGAGGACUGAACCCAUAGGCGUUGAAAAGCCCCGGGAUGACUUGUGGAUAGGGGUGAAAGGCCAAUCAAACUUCGUGAUAGCUGGUUCUCUCCGAAAUAUAUUUAGGUAUAGCGUUGUGUCGUAAUAUAAGGGGGUAGAGCACUGAAUGGGCUAGGGCAUACACCAAUGUACCAAACCCUAUCAAACUCCGAAUACCUUAUAUGUAAUCACAGCAGUCAGGCGGCGAGUGAUAAAAUCCGUCGUCAAGAGGGAAACAACCCAGACUACCAGCUAAGGUCCCUAAAUCUUACUUAAGUGGAAAACGAUGUGAAGUUACUUAAACAACCAGGAGGUUGGCUUAGAAGCAGCCAUCCUUUAAAGAAAGCGUAAUAGCUCACUGGUCUAGUGAUUUUGCGCGGAAAAUAUAACGGGGCUAAAGUAAGUACCGAAGCUGUAGACUUGCGCACAACUUAGAUUAUUUAAGUUUAGAAUAUGAGAAACUAAGUUAUAUGUUUAGUUAUAUUUUUACUGAUUUUUAUAGAGUAAAGAUAGAAAUAAAACUUAGUAAAAUCAGUAAAAAUAUUCUUAGACUAAAGUUAAGUAGUUUAAGUUGUGUGCAAGUGGUAGGAGAGCGUUCUAUUUGCGUCGAAGGUAUACCGGUAAGGAGUGCUGGAGCGAAUAGAAGUGAGCAUGCAGGCAUGAGUAGCGAUAAUUAAUGUGAGAAUCAUUAACGCCGUAAACCCAAGGUUUCCUACGCGAUGCUCGUCAUCGUAGGGUUAGUCGGGUCCUAAGUCGAGUCCGAAAGGGGUAGACGAUGGCAAAUUGGUUAAUAUUCCAAUACCAACAUUAGUGUGCGAUGGAAGGACGCUUAGGGCUAAGGGGGCUAGCGGAUGGAAGUGCUAGUCUAAGGUCGUAGGAGGUUAUACAGGCAAAUCCGUAUAACAAUACUCCGAGAACUGAAAGGCUUUUUGAAGUCUUCGGAUGGAUAGAAGAACCCCUGAUGCCAUCGAGCCAAGAAAAGUUUCUAAGUUUAGCUAAUGUUGCCCGUACCGUAAACCGACACAGGUGGGUGGGAUGAGUAUUCUAAGGCGCGUGGAAGAACUCUCUUUAAGGAACUCUGCAAAAUAGCACCGUA